GACUUUAUGAUCAGUUGCAGACAAGUCUAAAAUUAACCAUCUGGAGGGAUAGAGAUCAUAUGCAAUAUGUUAUAAUUAGAGAUUAUAAAUAAUACAUUAAGUACUAUGCCCUCGGAUAAACUCCUCUAUGGAAAAAUAAAAAAGUUAAUAGGUCAUGAUCUUUAUUAACCUUACUGAGAGUGAAGUUUGUAUGCUCGUAUGUGGGGAUUUACCUAAAUUACACAGCAGAUUCUAUCACUUCCUCUGGAAGACACAGGAGAAAAUCUGGAAGAUGUGAAAGAUGUAGGAGAAAUGGUUCUAAUAUUAGAGAUGACAUGUUUUGUGCUGUUUCGUUCUUCCUUUUUCAUCUUAUGUAUAGGUAAGAAGGGCUCCUGAGAG
Molecule: long non-coding RNA, 378 nt
Filed under: Pan troglodytes (chimpanzee)
Lineage: Eukaryota; Metazoa; Chordata; Mammalia; Primates; Hominidae
Description: long non-coding RNA NONPTRT013934
Source: RNAcentral